AUGCAGCUGAGCGGUAGAGUUUCUUCGGAGACUUGAGAGCGGCGUACGGGUGCGGAACACGUGUGCAACCUGCCUUUAUCAGGGGGAUAGCCUUUCGAAAGGAAGAUUAAUACCCCAUAAUAUAUAGAGUGGCAUCACUUUAUAUUGAAAACUGAGGUGGAUAAAGAUGGGCACGCGCAAGAUUAGAUAGUUGGUGAGGUAACGGCUCACCAAGUCGAUGAUCUUUAGGGGGCCUGAGAGGGUGAUCCCCCACACUGGUACUGAGACACGGACCAGACUCCUACGGGAGGCAGCAGUGAGGAAUAUUGGACAAUGGGUUAGCGCCUGAUCCAGCCAUCCCGCGUGAAGGACGACGGCCCUAUGGGUUGUAAACUUCUUUUGUACAGGGAUAAACCUAUUUACGUGUAAAUAGCUGAAGGUACUGUACGAAUAAGCACCGGCUAACUCCGUGCCAGCAGCCGCGGUAAUACGGAGGGUGCAAGCGUUAUCCGGAUUUAUUGGGUUUAAAGGGUCCGUAGGCGGAUCUGUAAGUCAGUGGUGAAAUCUCACAGCUUAACUGUGAAACUGCCAUUGAUACUGCAGGUCUUGAGUAAGGUAGAAGUGGCUGGAAUAAGUAGUGUAGCGGUGAAAUGCAUAGAUAUUACUUAGAACACCAAUUGCGAAGGCAGGUCACUAUGUCUUAACUGACGCUGAUGGACGAAAGCGUGGGGGAGCGAACAGGAUUAGAUACCCUGGUAGUCCACGCUGUAAACGAUGCUAACUCGUUUUUGGGUUUUCGGAUUCAGAGACUAAGCGAAAGUGAUAAGUUAGCCACCUGGGGAGUACGAACGCAAGUUUGAAACUCAAAGGAAUUGACGGGGGCCCGCACAA
RNAcentral lists this ribosomal RNA (870 nucleotides) under Chryseobacterium taiwanense. RNAcentral describes it as "bacterial SSU rRNA". It matches the Rfam family "Bacterial small subunit ribosomal RNA", at positions 55 to 928 of the family's 1533-position model. The record is from RNAcentral. Lineage: Bacteria; Pseudomonadati; Bacteroidota; Flavobacteriia; Flavobacteriales; Weeksellaceae.